RNAcentral lists this ribosomal RNA (253 nucleotides) under uncultured bacterium. RNAcentral's name for it is "partial 16S ribosomal RNA". It matches the Rfam family "Bacterial small subunit ribosomal RNA", at positions 524 to 776 of the family's 1533-position model. The record is from RNAcentral.
UACGUAGGUGGCGAGCGUUGUCCGGAUUUACUGGGCGUAAAGAGCGCGCAGGCGGUCGUACAAGUCGCGUGUGAAAGCCCCCGGCUCAACUGGGGAGGGUCACGCGAUACUGUUCGACUCGAAGGCAGGAGAGGGAAGCGGAAUUCCCGGUGUAGUGGUGAAAUGCGUAGAUAUCAAGUGGAACACCAGUGGCGAAGGCGAGUCUCUGGACAUUUCCUGACGCUGAGGCACGAAAGCCAGGGGAGCAAACGGG